GAGUAGGUUAUUGCCAGGGUUUUUAUUUUAUACUUUAAGUUUUGAUUUUAUUUUUACGUUAUUUAAAUAUUGGUGUUUUUAAAUGUGUUAUUUAAAUAACAUAAAAAAUAAAAUAUAUGUUGACAUGUAUUAAACAAAGAUAUAUAUUAUUUUAUGUUGCAUAAACAAAUUGGCAAAAUAGAGAUGGAAGAUAAAAAUA
RNAcentral lists this unclassified non-coding RNA (199 nucleotides) under Borreliella americana. RNAcentral's name for it is "partial 5S-23S intergenic spacer". Lineage: Bacteria; Pseudomonadati; Spirochaetota; Spirochaetia; Spirochaetales; Borreliaceae. The record is from RNAcentral.